AGUGGCGGACGGGUGAGUAACGCGUGAGGAACCUGCCUUGAAGAGGGGGACAACAGUUGGAAACGACUGCUAAUACCGCAUGACGCAUAGGGAUCGCAUGAUCUUUAUGCCAAAGAUUUAUCGCUUCAAGAUGGCCUCGCGUCUGAUUAGCUAGUUGGCGGGGUAACGGCCCACCAAGGCGACGAUCAGUAGCCGGACUGAGAGGUUGAACGGCCACAUUGGGACUGAGAUACGGCCCAGACUCCUACGGGAGGCAGCAGUGGGGAAUAUUGGGCAAUGGGCGCAAGCCUGACCCAGCAACGCCGCGUGAAGGAAGAAGGCUUUCGGGUUGUAAACUUCUUUUAAGAGGGAAGAGCAGAAGACGGUACCUCUAGAAUAAGCCACGGCUAACUACGUGCCAGCAGCCGCGGUAAUACGUAGGUGGCAAGCGUUGUCCGGAUUUACUGGGUGUAAAGGGCGUGCAGCCGGGUCUGCAAGUCAGAUGUGAAAUCCAUGGGCUCAACCCAUGAACUGCAUUUGAAACUGUAGAUCUUGAGUGUCGGAGGGGCAAUCGGAAUUCCUAGUGUAGCGGUGAAAUGCGUAGAUAUUAGGAGGAACACCAGUGGCGAAGGCGGAUUGCUGGACGAUAACUGACGGUGAGGCGCGAAAGUGUGGGGAGCAAACAGGAUUAGAUACCCUGGUAGUCCACACUGUAAACGAUGAAUACUAGGUGUGCGGGGACUGACCCCC
Molecule: ribosomal RNA, 729 nt
Filed under: uncultured bacterium
Lineage: Bacteria
Description: bacterial SSU rRNA
Rfam family: Bacterial small subunit ribosomal RNA
Source: RNAcentral